GCGCUGCUGAGGAGUUCCACAAUAGGACGAAACGGCCGUCCAGUGC
Schistosoma haematobium is the source of this 46-nucleotide non-coding RNA. NCBI's taxonomy places the organism in Eukaryota, Metazoa, Platyhelminthes, Trematoda, Strigeidida, Schistosomatidae. The record is from Rfam.